Cimex lectularius (bed bug) is the source of this 1103-nucleotide long non-coding RNA. RefSeq lists it as uncharacterized. The record is from RefSeq and is a predicted model, not a curated record. The transcript is spliced from 3 exons. Lineage: Eukaryota; Metazoa; Arthropoda; Insecta; Hemiptera; Cimicidae.
UAUUUUCCUACAAUAAAUAGGCCUGAUGUUGACGAUUUAAUCGUCGAAAGCUCGGCAAAAACUUAAAGAAUUGUCGUUCUGCUGUGACCUCACCGAAGAUUCUUUUCUAAGUUGUUUAACAUCAGGUCGAUCCAUCAUCUUAUCUUUAAUAAUUUUGUUAAUUUCGUAGUGAAUUUUCUCUUUAGGCAUAGGAACACUCGUUAACUACUUGGGUCAGUCUACUAGCUAAUAGAGUCCAUCAAGGAUUUGUGCUAUCCUUUUUAUUUUUAUCAUGCCAGUUGACGUAAUACAAAUCCUCUUUAACACGUUUAACAUUGGUUAGUAAUUCAACCAACCCGAAGACGACCAAACCGAAUAAGUGAUCCUAGCCGGUUCAGCAUGAGUUCACCGACUCGCAGAUCAACACCCAUCAACCAUUAUAAAAAAAUUCACAGAUCGAGCUAGCACACGAUCUUCAAUGCAUCUUGCGUUAGGGAGCCAUCGAUGGAUAUCAUGUUCGACCUUCCACAGAAAUGCCUGUCCAAACCAUAACAUCAGCACCUCCAUAGCUUCUUGGGAGUGAAAAUGCUCGAACAUCUAUCUGAGGUGUGACACGUUGGAGACCUGAUCCAUGCCUUCUUGUUGCCUCCAGUAUCUUGUUAGCUAUCUGUAGCGCACACAGGGAUCCAAGGUAAUGAGGAAGCCACAGAAAACGCUGAGCUCGAAACAACAGUCACAGUAGUGCCGAAACGCUACCUCAUCUCCAUGGCCUCGAAAAAUGACAUUGGCCCAAUGGGAGGAACGUUGGAGGCGUACUACUAAAGGUCUUCAAACUAAAAAGUUCUUCCCAACGGUAGAAUCGAGGAUGGCAGUAGAACUGAAACACCACCAUAUGCUUAGCCAACUUGUAAGUGGCCGUGGACAAACUCGAGAAUAUCUCUGUAGAUUCCACAUAACACAGGAUUCGGAAUGCGACUGUUCUGGGAGACCUCAACAAACGUGAGACCACAUCUUAUUCGACUGCCAUGGGGCUAAGAACCACGCCGAAAAGCUGCAAUAAGGGAUGUUGUAUGUAAGGGUGGACAAUGGCCACCAGACUAUCACAUUUUGAUUAAAGACCACAU